This 2988-nucleotide ribosomal RNA is filed under the name Salmonella enterica subsp. enterica serovar Sanjuan. Its description in RNAcentral is "23S ribosomal RNA". It matches the Rfam family "Bacterial large subunit ribosomal RNA". Lineage: Bacteria; Pseudomonadati; Pseudomonadota; Gammaproteobacteria; Enterobacterales; Enterobacteriaceae. The record is from RNAcentral.
UUAAGCGACUAAGCGUACACGGUGGAUGCCCUGGCAGUCAGAGGCGAUGAAGGGCGUGCUAAUCUGCGAUAAGCGCCGGUAAGGUGAUAUGAACCGUUAUAACCGGCGAUACCCGAAUGGGGAAACCCAGUGUGACUCGUCACACUAUCAUUAACUGAAUCCAUAGGUUAAUGAGGCGAACCGGGGGAACUGAAACAUCUAAGUACCCCGAGGAAAAGAAAUCAACCGAGAUUCCCCCAGUAGCGGCGAGCGAACGGGGAGGAGCCCAGAGCCUGAAUCAGCAUGUGUGUUAGUGGAAGCGUCUGGAAAGGCGCGCGAUACAGGGUGACAGCCCCGUACACAAAAGCGCACGUGCUGUGAGCUCGAUGAGUAGGGCGGGACACGUGGUAUCCUGUCUGAAUAUGGGGGGACCAUCCUCCAAGGCUAAAUACUCCUGACUGACCGAUAGUGAACCAGUACCGUGAGGGAAAGGCGAAAAGAACCCCGGCGAGGGGAGUGAAAAAGAACCUGAAACCGUGUACGUACAAGCAGUGGGAGCACAGGUUUACCUGUGUGACUGCGUACCUUUUGUAUAAUGGGUCAGCGACUUAUAUUCUGUAGCAAGGUUAACCGUAUAGGGGAGCCGGAGGGAAACCGAGUCUUAAUUGGGCGUUAAGUUGCAGGGUAUAGACCCGAAACCCGGUGAUCUAGCCAUGGGCAGGUUGAAGGUUGGGUAACACUAACUGGAGGACCGAACCGACUAAUGUUGAAAAAUUAGCGGAUGACCUGUGGCUGGGGGUGAAAGGCCAAUCAAACCGGGAGAUAGCUGGUUCUCCCCGAAAGCUAUUUAGGUAGCGCCUCGUGAAUUCAUCUCCGGGGGUAGAGCACUGUUUCGGCUAGGGGGCCAUCCCGGCUUACCAACCCGAUGCAAACUGCGAAUACCGGAGAAUGUUAUCACGGGAGACACACGGCGGGUGCUAACGUCCGUCGUGAAGAGGGAAACAACCCAGACCGCCAGCUAAGGUCCCAAAGUCAUGGUUAAGUGGGAAACGAUGUGGGAAGGCCCAGACAGCCAGGAUGUUGGCUUAGAAGCAGCCAUCAUUUAAAGAAAGCGUAAUAGCUCACUGGUCGAGUCGGCCUGCGCGGAAGAUGUAACGGGGCUAAACCAUGCACCGAAGCUGCGGCAGCGAACGUAUCACCCAAGACAACUUUGCACAGUUGACGAUUGACGGAGCGGAGCGACGUCAAAGCGUUUCACAACGUCGAGUUGGCUUAGGGAUACGUUCGUUGGGUAGGGGAGCGUUCUGUAAGCCUGCGAAGGUGGCCUGUGAGGGUUGCUGGAGGUAUCAGAAGUGCGAAUGCUGACAUAAGUAACGAUAAAGCGGGUGAAAAGCCCGCUCGCCGGAAGACCAAGGGUUCCUGUCCAACGUUAAUCGGGGCAGGGUGAGUCGACCCCUAAGGCGAGGCCGAAAGGCGUAGUCGAUGGGAAACGGGUUAAUAUUCCCGUACUUGGUGUUACUGCGAAGGGGGGACGGAGAAGGCUAUGUUGGCCGGGCGACGGUUGUCCCGGUUUAAGCGUGUAGGCUGGUUUUCCAGGCAAAUCCGGAAAAUCAAGGCUGAGGCGUGAUGACGAGGCACUACGGUGCUGAAGCAACAAAUGCCCUGCUUCCAGGAAAAGCCUCUAAGCAUCAGGUAACAUCAAAUCGUACCCCAAACCGACACAGGUGGUCAGGUAGAGAAUACCAAGGCGCUUGAGAGAACUCGGGUGAAGGAACUAGGCAAAAUGGUGCCGUAACUUCGGGAGAAGGCACGCUGACACGUAGGUGAAGUGAUUUACUCAUGGAGCUGAAGUCAGUCGAAGAUACCAGCUGGCUGCAACUGUUUAUUAAAAACACAGCACUGUGCAAACACGAAAGUGGACGUAUACGGUGUGACGCCUGCCCGGUGCCGGAAGGUUAAUUGAUGGGGUCAGCGCAAGCGAAGCUCCUGAUCGAAGCCCCGGUAAACGGCGGCCGUAACUAUAACGGUCCUAAGGUAGCGAAAUUCCUUGUCGGGUAAGUUCCGACCUGCACGAAUGGCGUAAUGAUGGCCAGGCUGUCUCCACCCGAGACUCAGUGAAAUUGAACUCGCUGUGAAGAUGCAGUGUACCCGCGGCAAGACGGAAAGACCCCGUGAACCUUUACUAUAGCUUGACACUGAACAUUGAGCCUUGAUGUGUAGGAUAGGUGGGAGGCUUUGAAGUGUGGACGCCAGUCUGCAUGGAGCCAACCUUGAAAUACCACCCUUUAAUGUUUGAUGUUCUAACGUGGACCCGUAAUCCGGGUUGCGGACAGUGUCUGGUGGGUAGUUUGACUGGGGCGGUCUCCUCCUAAAGAGUAACGGAGGAGCACGAAGGUUGGCUAAUCCUGGUCGGACAUCAGGAGGUUAGUGCAAUGGCAUAAGCCAGCUUGACUGCGAGCGUGACGGCGCGAGCAGGUGCGAAAGCAGGUCAUAGUGAUCCGGUGGUUCUGAAUGGAAGGGCCAUCGCUCAACGGAUAAAAGGUACUCCGGGGAUAACAGGCUGAUACCGCCCAAGAGUUCAUAUCGACGGCGGUGUUUGGCACCUCGAUGUCGGCUCAUCACAUCCUGGGGCUGAAGUAGGUCCCAAGGGUAUGGCUGUUCGCCAUUUAAAGUGGUACGCGAGCUGGGUUUAGAACGUCGUGAGACAGUUCGGUCCCUAUCUGCCGUGGGCGCUGGAGAACUGAGGGGGGCUGCUCCUAGUACGAGAGGACCGGAGUGGACGCAUCACUGGUGUUCGGGUUGUCAUGCCAAUGGCACUGCCCGGUAGCUAAAUGCGGAAGAGAUAAGUGCUGAAAGCAUCUAAGCACGAAACUUGCCCCGAGAUGAGUUCUCCCUGAGACUUAGAGUCUCCUGAAGGAACGUUGAAGACGACGACGUUGAUAGGCCGGGUGUGUAAGCGCAGCGAUGCGUUGAGCUAACCGGUACUAAUGAACCGUGAGGCUUAACCUU